GACGAACGCUGGCGGCGUGCUUAACACAUGCAAUUCGAACGGAAAGGCCCUGCUUUUGUGGGGUGCUCGAGUGGCGAACGGGUGAGUAACACGUGAGUAACCUGCCCUUGACUUUGGGAUAACUUCAGGAAACUGGGGCUAAUACCGGAUAGGAGCUCCUGCUGCAUGGUGGGGGUUGGAAAGUUUCGGCGGUUGGGGAUGGACUCGCGGCUUAUCAGCUUGUUGGUGGGGUAGUGGCUUACCAAGGCUUUGACGGGUAGCCGGCCUGAGAGGGUGACCGGCCACAUUGGGACUGAGAUACGGCCCAGACUCCUACGGGAGGCAGCAGUGGGGAAUAUUGCACAAUGGGCGGAAGCCUGAUGCAGCAACGCCGCGUGCGGGAUGACGGCCUUCGGGUUGUAAACCGCUUUCGCCUGUGACGAAGCGUGAGUGACGGUAAUGGGUAAAGAAGCACCGGCUAACUACGUGCCAGCAGCCGCGGUGAUACGUAGGGUGCGAGCGUUGUCCGGAUUUAUUGGGCGUAAAGGGCUCGUAGGUGGUUGAUCGCGUCGGAAGUGUAAUCUUGGGGCUUAACCCUGAGCGUGCUUUCGAUACGGGUUGACUUGAGGAAGGUAGGGGAGAAUGGAAUUCCUGGUGGAGCGGUGGAAUGCGCAGAUAUCAGGAGGAACACCAGUGGCGAAGGCGGUUCUCUGGGCCUUUCCUGACGCUGAGGAGCGAAAGCGUGGGGAGCGAACAGGCUUAGAUACCCUGGUAGUCCACGCUGUAAACGGUGGGUACUAGGUGUGGGGUCCAUUCCACGGGUUCCGUGCCGUAGCUAACGCUUUAAGUACCCCGCCUGGGGAGUACGGCCGCAAGGCUAAAACUCAAAGGAAUUGACGGGGCCCCGCACAAGCGGCGGAGCAUGCGGAUUAAUUCGAUGCAACGCGUAGAACCUUACCUGGGUUUGACGUGGAUCGGGAGUGCUCAGAGAUGGGUGUGCCUCUUUUGGGGUCGGUUCACAGGUGGUGCAUGGCUGUCGUCAGCUCGUGUCGUGAGAUGUUGGGUUAAGUCCCGCAACGAGCGCAACCCUUGUUCACUGUUGCCAGCACGUUAUGGUGGGGACUCAGUGGAGGCCGCCGGGGUCAACUCGGAGGAAGGUGGGGAUGACGUCAAGUCAUCAUGCCCCUUAUGUCCAGGGCUUCACGCAUGCUACAAUGGCUGGUACAGAGAGUGGCGAGCCUGUGAGGGUGAGCGAAUCUCGGAAAGUCGGUCUCAGUUCGGAUUGGGGUCUGCAACUCGACCUCAUGAAGUCGGAGUCGCUAGUAAUCGCAGAUCAGCAACGCUGCGGUGAAUACGUUCCCGGGGCU
This 1346-nucleotide ribosomal RNA is filed under the name uncultured bacterium. RNAcentral's name for it is "partial 16S ribosomal RNA". It matches the Rfam family "Bacterial small subunit ribosomal RNA", at positions 28 to 1381 of the family's 1533-position model. The record is from RNAcentral.